UCAGGACGAACGCUGGCGGCGUGCCUAAUACAUGCAAGUCGAACGGUCUUUCUAUGGAAGCUUGCUUCCACUGAGAAGAUAGUGGCGAACGGGUGAGUAACACGUGGGUAACCUGCCCAUAAGAGGGGGAUAACAUCCGGAAACGGGUGCUAAUACCGCAUAGUUUUCUUGAUCGCAUGAUUGAGAAAGGAAAGACGGCCUUUGUGCUGUCGCUUAUGGAUGGACCCGCGGCGUAUUAGUUAGUUGGUGAGGUAACGGCUCACCAAGACGAUGAUACGUAGCCGACCUGAGAGGGUGAUCGGCCACAUUGGGACUGAGACACGGCCCAAACUCCUACGGGAGGCAGCAGUAGGGAAUCUUCCGCAAUGGACGAAAGUCUGACGGGGCAACGCCGCGUGAGUGAAGAAAAGGUUUUCGGAUCGUAAAACUCCGUUGUCAGAGAAGAACAAGUUGGAGAGUAACUGCUCCAGCCUUGACGGUAUCUGACCAGAAAGCCACGGCUAACUACGUGCCAGCAGCCGC
RNAcentral lists this ribosomal RNA (522 nucleotides) under uncultured bacterium. Its description in RNAcentral is "bacterial SSU rRNA". It matches the Rfam family "Bacterial small subunit ribosomal RNA", at positions 24 to 518 of the family's 1533-position model. The record is from RNAcentral.